RNAcentral lists this long non-coding RNA (2605 nucleotides) under Homo sapiens (human). Its description in RNAcentral is "HSALNT0141591". Lineage: Eukaryota; Metazoa; Chordata; Mammalia; Primates; Hominidae. The record is from RNAcentral.
CUUUUAGAAAGGAGUUUUAACAUGUUAUUAAUUAUCACCUCUAUUCUUUGCUACGGUAAAUUUAACUUUACAAAGAUCCUUCCUUCCCUUUAUUAUUAGGAGUAUGUUUAAUAGAGAGAAAAAUCAAUAGAUGAGUGCUAACAAUCUUAAUUUAUAAAUAAAAUGUUGCAUCAUAGAUAGCUGAUUUUGCUUUCUUAUUUUGCAGUGCAACAAUUCAAGGAUAAUUUUUGUUAAUAUUUCAGGUCAAUCAUAUUUGAAUUAAAAAUUUAAAUUAAAAAAUUAAAAUGCCAGCCAUCUGUAAAUCUACAAACAACAGUUGUACUGUGAAGCCUUUAUUAUUAGAGACAUAUCAGAUUCCCCAAUUUCAAGUCAUAACAUAAAUUUCAAGUCAUAACAUAUGUAAAAUACAUAACAUGUGGUUUCCAUUAAUAAAAUAUUUUGUAUAGAAAUAGCAAAAUAUUUUUACACAAAGUAUUGGGUCUGUCAUCACUUCCAUUUGCAAGGGAUGAAGACUGCCAAUAUUAAGUCAGGUUUACAAGAGCAUCUUGGGUUGUAAUAGGGAAGCAAUAAAGAGGUCAAGGGAACAGUUAUAAAAUAAAUGAAUAGAAUAUGUUUUCCCAGGUGCCACUUGGGGAAAAACACUUUGAUAGAUCCAAAGGAAAUAAGAAACUUAAAUAGAUAUUUUCAAGGCUAAAAAAGCUACUGAUGGAGGAAUAAAUAUAAUCAUCAAACACAGCUAUUAGAAAAUCAUAUUGGAGGCUGGGCCAAGGUGGGCAGAUCACCUGAGGUUGGGAGUUUGAGACCAGCCUGACCAACACAGAGAAACCCCGUCUCUAUUAAAAAUACAAAAUUAGCCAGGUGUGGUAGCGCAUGCUUGUAAUCCCAGCUUGGGAGGUUGAGACAGGAGAAUCGCUUGAACCCAGGGGCAGAGGUUGCAGUGAGCCGAGAUCAAAACAGCCUGGGCAACAAGAGUGAAACUCCGUCUCAAAAAAAAAAAAAAAAAAAAGAAAGAAAGAAAAAGAAAAAAAAUGGAAAUAAUAUUGGCCUCAAACUCAUUCUGAAAGCAGAAAUGGGAUUCUGUGGGCUCUUGUUUUAGAGAGUGAAGUUGCUUGAGUGAACCCAGGGACUCAUUGCUUAAUUUGUUACUCUCACCUUAGGACAAUUCUAAGAGCUGUAAUAUUCCCUUCCACCCAUCUAUACACUUUUUUCAACCACCUAGUUCCACUUUCUAAAUAUAUAUCGCUGAAUGCAUGCUAAAACUAUUUUAUCCAUCAUUGAGUGCUCUCUGUUGCAGCUCAGCACUGAGUAGGAAUCUAAUGUCUUUAACUUCAAGGGACUUGUAAUAUACUUAGGGAGGCAAGACUUAUAUCAAAUGCAUAAAAUAUACAGUAGGCCAGGCAUGGCGGCUCAUACCUGCAAUCCCAGAGCUUUGGGAGGCUAAGGCCACAGGAGUACUUGAGGCCAGGAGUUUGAGGCCACCUUGGGCAACAUAGUGAGACCUCAUCUCUACUAAAAAUAAAAAAUUAGCCAGACAGGGUGGUGCAUGCCUGUAGUCUCAGCUACUUGGGAGGCUGAGGUGGGAGGACUGCUUGAGCCUGGGAGUCCAACACUUCAGUGAGCUAUGAUUGCACCACUGCACUCAAGCCUAGACAACAGAUUGAGACCCUGUCUCUAAAAAAAAAUAAUAAAAAUUAAAACACAAACAAACAAAACAAGCAAACAAAACAAGUCAAGGCAGUUUUUAUAGAAACUGACAUUGUAGCCAGGUGCAGUGGCUCACACCUUUGGGGGCCGAGGCAGGCAGAUCACUUGAGGUCAGGUGUCCGAGACCAGCUUGGCCAACAUGGUGAAACCCUAUCUCUACUAAAAAUACAAAAAUUAGCCGGGCAUGGUGGUGUGCGCCUGUAAUCCCAGCUACUUGGGAGGCUGAAGCAGGAGAUUGCUUGAACCUGGGAGGCAGAAAUUGCAGUCAGCUGAGAUCAUUCCACUGCACUCCAGCUUGGGUGAGAGAGUGAGACUCCAUCUCAAUGAAUAAAUAAAUGAAUAAAUAAACCGACAUUGGUAAAGAGGUUAUCUUUAGUUGGGCCUUAAAGACAAUGGAGUGGACACUGUCUGUUGGCUCCAUAGCUAACAUUCAUUACUUGCCUUCCCAUUACUAACAGCGUCCAGACUUUAACUUGGAUAACAUAUAUGCUUUACCAUAAGCUCAAGUACUUUAGGGAAAGCUGAUCCCACUUCAAGCUUCAGUCGGGGAGUUGGGGAGGGGUCUGUGGCUUGUUUAAAAACAAACAUUGGUACAUUCAAUUUCCCCUGCUUACAUCAUUUUUCGGUUGAGGGUGGGGAUGGGGAAUGGGAAGGGGAGAACACGACCCAACCAGGGUGAAUUUCAGGACCCUUGUUUGAAAUGCCAGCUAAGAAAUGUCUGGGAAAACACCAGGAAGAGAAAACAUCUCUGUUCCUCCAACACCAUGUUGUAUGCAUGUGAAGCCUGGAACCAGUAGAGUCAUUUUGCUAGAUGUAAGCUGAGGGCCAAGGAAAUAUAUGGAGGAGGUUACUGCCAAGUUACUUACAAAUGAGCUCAUUCCCUCAGGGGUGUUAUGAUCUU